Molecule: RNA transcript, 4318 nt
Organism: Alosa sapidissima (American shad)
Lineage: Eukaryota; Metazoa; Chordata; Actinopteri; Clupeiformes; Clupeidae
Gene name: taste receptor type 1 member 1-like
Exons: 8
Source: RefSeq, a predicted model, not a curated record
UAUAGUUACUGUAACUUUGGCCAUGGUGCCCCCCACCAAAUAUGCCCAACUAAAGGCCAAGUGGCCUUGCCCCUAAAAUGCAAAAGUAUGCAAAAGCUCCUUCCCAGACUGUAUGGGAAUACAUUCAAUGAUGCGUUGAAAUGCAAAUAGAAUCAGUGCAUAAGCGAGGUACACAUGAGGUUUGCAUGUCAAUGACAGUGGAUCUGCUCAUCCAUUUCCAUCUCAUCCAUGGGAGGCACAGAGACAAUGCAGCUGGCUUUCCUCACCAUCUUCGUUAUCUGUCUUCAUAAUGCUUGUUUCUGGGAGUGCUCUUGCCAAGCGUCUGAUUUCAACCUUGAUGGUGACUAUCUGAUCGGAGGUCUGUUCCCUGUUCACUAUGCAGAACACUCAGGCCAGCAAAGGAGACCUGUUGCUAUCAAGUGUGAUGAAAAGUCAUUCUUCCUGACUGGCUAUCAUUUGCUCCAGGUCAUGAGGUUUGCCGUUGAGGAGAUCAACAACUUGACCUCCCUCUUGCCAAACGUCUCCCUUGGUUACCAGCUCUUUGAUCACUGCUCCAGCACCUACAACUUCCCCUCCAGCCUACAGUUCUUCUCCUCCCACAACGACUCCAUCAAAGUCAGGGAAGACUACAACCGCUACCUGCCUAAAGUCAUCGGUUUCACCGGCCCCUUGAGCAGCUCAGAGAGUGUAUCCCUUGCUCCCCUCUUCAUGAUGGACCUCAUCCCAAUGAUCAGUUAUGGAGCCUCCAGUAGCAUUUUCAGUGACAAAAAACUGUAUCCUUCAUUCCUACGGACUGUACCAAGUAACAAAGACCAGAUUGAACUCAUCAUUCAGAUCAUAAAGCAUUUUGGCUGGAACUGGGUGGCUUUCAUUGGCACUACAACCACUUACAGCCAGGAUGGUUUUCAACUGUUUUAUGACCUGAUUGAAAAUGUAGGUAUCUGUCUGGCUUACUACGGGAUUCUGACUGAAACAUCACAAUUAAACACAAUAUUUGAAACUAUAGAUAUGCUCCACAUUAAAGUCAUAAUCCUUUUCGUUGAGGAGCUGAAGGCUGCGGAGGUCAUCCAUUUGGCAAUACAACACAAAUUUCAAAAUAAAGUCUGGAUUGCUGGAGAAGCCUGGUCCAUGUACCAGCCUCUGACCAAACAGCAGGGGAUUGAGACCAUUGGCACCAUCAUUGGAGUGACACCACAUGUUGCUAAGCUCCCCGGCUUCAGCAACUUCAUCCAUCAGUCGAGAAUGGGAGGCAACUGCAAGUCUUGCCACAGUGGGGCAGGCCUAUCAGACGAAGCUGUUUGCAAUCAGGACUGUGAGGCUUGUUCUUCACAAAGUGCUGAGGACAUUAUCAACGAGGGCAAUGCUUACUCCUUCUCAGUGUAUUCAGCUGUAUACGUCAUGGCGAUGGCUUUACACAAUGCUCUACAAUGCAACCACUCAGGAUGCAACACAAGUCGCACAGUCUAUCCCUACAUGCUUCUUCGUGAGAUGAAACGCUUACCUAUGUUCUCCUUGAACCAAUUGAAUGUGUACUUUGAUGAGAAUGGCGACCCGCCAGCACAUUACUCAGUCGUCUUCUGGAACACUGCUGACCACACAGUAAAGAUCCAGCCGAUUGGCACAUAUGACAACCAACAGGUGGUGAACCUCUCUAUUGAUGACAUGCAGAUCCACUGGCAUGGUGAUGGCUUGGUGCCAUUCUCCAACUGCUCUGCUGAGUGUAAGCCAGGACAUGUUCGGCAGCAGGAAGGCCAACAUCACUGCUGUUUCACUUGUGUGGAAUGCCCCAUUAACCAGUAUACCAACCACACAGCUGACCUCUACUCCUGUCUGAAGUGUGACCAGUAUGACUGGUCCGAGGCUGGAAGCACGUCAUGCCAGAAACGUUCUGUGGAAUUCCUCCACUUCUCCGAUGUCAUCCCCAUUCUAAUCCUGCUCUCCGCAUCCUCACUCAUGCUCCUGUGUCUGGGGGUGGCCGUGCUGUUUGCCAUUCACUACUCCACGCCUGUAGUGCGGUCAGCAGGGGGCAGCAUGUGCUUCCUGAUGUUGGGCUGCCUCGCCGCGUCCUCCAUAAGCAUCUUCUUCUACUUUGGCGAGCCCUCAGCUCUGAGCUGCUUGCUCAGAAGCACACCCCUUACCUUUUUCUACACCGUCUGCUUGUCCUGCCUAUUAGUCCGCUCUGUAUCGAUCAUCUGCAUCUUCAAAAUGGCUUCCCACCUGCCCAAAGCGUAUGCAUUGUGGGUGAAGUACAGUGGGCAUUGGCUGUUAGUGGCUGGGGUGUCGUUUUUCCAGCUUAUCCUGUGUGUGAUCGCAAUUACAGUCAGUCCUCCCAUGCCAAUCAAUGACAUGCAGUCCUUCAAAGAUCAGGUAGUGCUUAGAUGCAUUGAAAAAGCUUUAAUCCCUGUAGGUUUUGGUCUAGGCCUCAUGUGUAGUGUCAGUGGUGUCUGCUUCCUCUUAUCCUACAUGGGAAAAGACCUGCCGAAGAACUACAACGAGGCCAAAGCCAUCACUUUCUGCAUACUGGUGUCUUUUCUGAGCUGGGCUGCCUAUCUUGAAGCUUAUAUGUUGUCCCGCAGCAAGUAUGUGCAGUUGAUCAAAGCUAUAGUUGAGCUGAGCUGUUUGUAUGGCAUCAUGUUCAGUUACUUCAUCCCAAAGUCCUUCAUCAUUGUCUUUCAGCCUCAAAAGAACACACAGGAGUAUUUCCAAGCCAGCAUUCAGAGUUACACACAAACUAUUAGUAGAAUGUAGAUUUGUGUUGGAGGCAUAACAGGAUAUAAAAAUAGAAAUGUGUCAGGUGAGCACCAUUUGAAAUGACAUACACACAUCUAUAAAGGGGUAGACUAUAUAACAGCCAAUUUGUUCUCUUUUUUUUUUUUCAAAUGAUAGUUUUGUACAUGUAUUUUUUUUUUUUUUACCAUAUGGCGGAGUAUGAUGCAAAUUGUUAUUCAAAACAGGAACUUAACGCUCCAGUAAUUUCAGCCCGACUUUGCAUACAGGAGCUCAGUCUGUCUGCUCAGUCUGCUGACUGGAUAAUUUAUGGGCCAGAGCCCAAACAAAGCACAGAUCCUGUUAAGGUUACAUCCAAUACCAAUCCAGACCAAGCACAUUCCAGUACCAGUCUGAAUCCAGUCCAAACCAGACAAGCUCUAGUUCAGGUCCAGACCAACUCCAAUUCCAGGCCAGACUCAAUUCAAACCCAGACUAGAGUAUUCGUUCUAAUUUGGUAGUCAGAUAAAGCAGCAUUUUCAUUUUGCUUACUUUAAUUAGUGGAUAGGGCACUGACAUUUUUCCAAUAAAUAAAAGUAGUUUUAAUGCAGACUGAUCUUUCCUCCAAGUAAAUAGCACUCCUAAACUGCAAACAGUCCCAUGCUGUUAAUUUAAAUAUUCAAAAGACAUUCUUUUGUAGUAUGUUUUGAAGGUUCACAUCCCUUCCACUGUGAUCCCAACAGCCUAAUGUGUUGGUAAAAGGUACCAGCAUUACUUAAUACACAGUAAUAGUUAUCAUCUGAAAGUUCUACGUCAUUUUGUUUGUGUUUACAUUUGUGUUGUUAUUUACAUAAAAGACAUUUAUAUCAUAUUCACAGCCAUAUUUUUGUUAUUUGUGUGUGGGUAUUUGUUUGUGUGUAUUUGUUUGAUUUUUUUAUUUGACUUUUUUAUUUCUUUGUAUAAUGUUUCAUAAUUUACAUUUUAAACUGAAAUGUGAGAGAUAAUUUCCCAUGAAGGUAAAUCCAGUUCAAUCUUCAGAAUUCAUCCACGCGAUGAUGUGGAACACUGACACUUCUUACGACCCCUGUUCAAUUUCACUGUUAUUCUGGCCUCAGGGGACCCUGCCAACCAAUGGGAAUGGAGUGAAAAUCUUUCCACCCUAAAUGUCCACAAGGGGGGAGCCUAACAUCAUACCAGGCAACUGACACGGCCUCCGACUACUGUACCCUAGCCUAAGUGUUGUUGUAAAAGUUUCCACAACGAGUCUUGCAGAGAAAUGUGAAAUGCAGAGGGGAGAGGAUGACAGUGAUGGGAUUCAAAUGUAUUCUGCUCUGUGGGUGACAUGUUACUGUGCAGCUGAUGAAACUCCAAGAGAAUGUCUGCUGUCUUCAGCACAGCAGAUCAGCUCAGACACCAGCCUACUGUACCUGCCUUCACCUGUACCUGCAUUUCCACAUUUUACAGAAAUCUCCCCCCCUCUCUCAUCCACACCUGUCACAUGCAUUCAUACAUGCUGUAAGAGAAGUCUAUGCAUGUUAAAUAUAUUACACCAGGGCCUCGUGGGAGUUGAGGGAAGGGGAGAUUUCCUUCAUUAUUCAUGCAUUCACUCCAU